AGUCGCGUCGGGCCUCCCGAGGGGGCUGCGAGUGUCAGUCGGCUCUCCGCACGUGUCCGCGGCCUCGCGGAGCAGUCCACCCCUGGCUGGUUUCUGCUUCCACCUGCUGAUCUCACAGAGCACUGCAAGCUAUUUGGCAUAUGAAGGUCUUGACCUGAGAAAACCAUCUUGGAUAACUGCAGCAAGGAAAAGGAAAAAUGCAACACCUAGGAGAUUUCAGUAAACAGUAGAAUCAUGCCAACCUAAUCUGUGUUAAAAUGCUUGGAAUGUGGGAGCCGCUGAUGAUGCCUCUUGUCUGUGUGUCUGACUGAAUCCUUUCUUUUCUCAGAGCAGCAAAGCAAAGCCUGGGAACCAGGCCAAAUGCCUGCCACUUACCUUAAAUUGAUCAGCCACUUUGAGAUUAAAAC
This 407-nucleotide non-coding RNA is filed under the name Pan troglodytes (chimpanzee). The record is from RNAcentral. Lineage: Eukaryota; Metazoa; Chordata; Mammalia; Primates; Hominidae. RNAcentral also lists the same sequence under 1 other name.